Molecule: long non-coding RNA, 1044 nt
Organism: Saimiri boliviensis boliviensis (Bolivian squirrel monkey)
Lineage: Eukaryota; Metazoa; Chordata; Mammalia; Primates; Cebidae
Source: Ensembl
CCCCUGUCCACAUUCCCCAAAGCUCCUUGUGAGAUUCCUGAGCAGCACCAAUGCCCUGACUGUCACUGUGUGUUCUCCUAGCUCCUGUUGACCAUCCAGAGGAGUGUCCAUUUGACAGUGAGGAGGAGGAGGUGGCCUCUGACAUGGAGAAGCCUGCCGCCCAGUAUCACCACCGUCCUGUUGAGGUCCUGCAGGACCUGGUUUUGGAGGACGUGGAGGAGGAGGAGCUGCCCUCUGUCCUGGAGAAGCCUGCAGCCCAGUAUAACCACCGUCCUGUUGAGGUCCUGCAGGACCUGGUUUUGGAGGACGUGGAGGAGGAGGAGCUGCCCUCUGUCCUGGAGAAGCCUGAGGCCCAGUAUCACCACCGUACGUAUUCUUUUUCUUUUAAAGAGUUACUGAGAUGUAGUUGACAUGCAAACCAAUUCACCCAUUUAAAGUAGGUGAUUCAGUGUUUUUACUAUAUUUACAGGGCUGUGCAGCCAUUGUUACAGUCUAAUUUUAGAAGCUCUUGAUUCCCCCUCAAAAAACCCCAUUAGUAGUGACUCCUCUGUUUCCCCAACCCCCACACCCCUCGUUCUAGGCAGCUCUAAUCUCCUUGCUGUUUCUAUAGUACACUGCCUUUCUGUAUUCACCGGUUCUUCAAAUGACUGUUUCACACUGAUGAGGUUGCCCUAGCCAGGAAGCCAAGGCUCUUUCAUUUCUUUCUGCCCCUCUCCUUUGCCUUCCUUCAGCACCAAGGAGAAUGGUCCAGCAGCAGCUCAGUCCAUGCUUGUCAACUGCGCAGCUCCACACCAGCCCCCGUCCACAUUCCCCAAAGCUUUUUGUGAGAUUUCUCAGCAGCACCAAUGCCCUGACUGUCACUCUAUGUUCUCCUAGCUCCUGUUGACCAUCCAGAGGAGUGUCCAUUUGGGAGUGAGGAGGAGGAGGUGGCCUCUGACACGGUAACAUACAUUUCUUUGUCUGGAACUGUUUUGUGUGUGGGGCUUCUAGACUAUGAAAUGAAUAUGAUUUUUGACUGCCAUCAUAAAUCAGGCCUCAGGGGGU